AGUGUUCGGAUCGCUGUGACGUAGGUGGUUCGCUGCCCGCGACUCUGCGAGAAGUCCAUUGAACCUUAUCAUUUAGAGGAAGGAGAAGUCGUAACAAGGUUUCCGUAGGUGAACCUGCGGAAGGAUCAUUG
Molecule: ribosomal RNA, 131 nt
Filed under: Cyclopogon polyaden
Lineage: Eukaryota; Viridiplantae; Streptophyta; Magnoliopsida; Asparagales; Orchidaceae
Description: partial 18S ribosomal RNA
Rfam family: Eukaryotic small subunit ribosomal RNA
Source: RNAcentral